AAAAAAUUAGGUGACAGGUCAAGAAUAACAACGGAAAGAACGGAAAGAACGGAAAAAACGGAAAGAACCUCCACAGAGACAGAAACAUACGGCAGAAUAUUAGGUGACAGAACGGAAAGAACGGAAAAAACGGAAAGAACCUCCACAGAGACAGAAACAUACGGCAGAAUAUUAGGUGACAGUUCAAGAACAAGCACGGAAAGAAAGGAAAGAACGGAAAGAACCUCCAGAGAGACAGAAACAUACGGCAGAAAAUUAGGCGACAGGUGAAGAACAACAACGGAAAUAACAGAAUAAAACGAAAUAACGGAAAUAAUAGCGGAAAUAACAGAAAUAAUAACAGAAAUAACAAAAAUAAUAACGCAAAUAAGAACGGAAAUAAGAGCAGAAAUCAUGGAAAUUAUAACGGAAAUAAUAACCUAAAUAAAGGAAAUAAGAGAAAUAACGGAAAUAACCUCCGAAAGACAGAAACAUACGGCAGAAAAUUAACUGGCAGGUCAAGAACAACAACGGAAAUAACGGAAAUAACGGAAAUAACGGAAAUAACGGAAAUAACGGGAAUAACCUCGACAGAGACAGAAACUUACGGCAGAAAAUUAACUGACAG
Gallus gallus (chicken) is the source of this 607-nucleotide long non-coding RNA. NCBI's taxonomy places the organism in Eukaryota, Metazoa, Chordata, Aves, Galliformes, Phasianidae. The record is from Ensembl.